GGCUGCCUACGGGACGCAGCAGUGGGGAAUAUUGCGCAAUGGGCGAAAGCCUGACGCAGCGACGCCGCGUGAGGGAUGAAGGUCUUUGGAUCGUAAACCUCUGUCAGCAGGGAAGAACGGUCACUGUGCUAAUCAGCAGUGAAUUGACGGUACCUGCAAAGGAAGCACCGGCUAACUCCGUGCCAGCAGCCGCGGUAAUACGGAGGGUGCGAGCGUUAAUCGGAAUUACUGGGCGUAAAGCGCUCGUAGGCGGUAUGUCAAGUCAAGGGUGAAAUCCCCGCGCUCAACGUGGGAACUGCUUUGAA
RNAcentral lists this ribosomal RNA (305 nucleotides) under uncultured bacterium. RNAcentral describes it as "bacterial SSU rRNA". It matches the Rfam family "Bacterial small subunit ribosomal RNA", at positions 333 to 631 of the family's 1533-position model. The record is from RNAcentral.